GGUAAGUUGGCUGAGUGCUUAAGCGGCGGGCUGUAGACCCGCUAAUGUGGGUUUAAUUCCCGUCCUUAUC
This 70-nucleotide transfer RNA is filed under the name Lanthanotus borneensis (Borneo earless monitor). RNAcentral describes it as "tRNA-Tyr". It matches the Rfam family "tRNA". From Rfam's summary of the family: Transfer RNA (tRNA) molecules are approximately 80 nucleotides in length. Their secondary structure includes four short double-helical elements and three loops (D, anti-codon, and T loops). Further hydrogen bonds mediate the characteristic L-shaped molecular structure. tRNAs have two regions of fundamental functional importance: the anti-codon, which is responsible for specific mRNA codon recognition, and the 3' end, to which the tRNAs corresponding amino acid is attached (by aminoacyl-tRNA synthetases). tRNAs cope with the degeneracy of the genetic code in two manners: having more than one tRNA (with a specific anti-codon) for a particular amino acid; and 'wobble' base-pairing, i.e. permitting non-standard base-pairing at the 3rd anti-codon position. Lineage: Eukaryota; Metazoa; Chordata; Lepidosauria; Squamata; Lanthanotidae. The record is from RNAcentral.